ACAUGCAAGUCGAACGGGGUGGUUCGUCCCGAGGAUUGACGGUGCUUGCACCUGAUUGACUCACUUGAAUCACUUAGUGGCGGACGGGUGAGUAACGCGUGGGAAACCUGCCCUAUACUGGGGGAUAGCAGUUGGAAACGACUGAUAAUACCGCAUAAGCGCACAGCAUCGCAUGAUGCAGUGUGAAAAACUCCGGUGGUAUAGGAUGGUCCCGCGUCUGAUUAGCUAGUUGGUGAGGUAACGGCCCACCAAGGCGACGAUCAGUAGCCGGCCUGAGAGGGUGUACGGCCACAUUGGGACUGAGACACGGCCCAAACUCCUACGGGAGGCAGCAGUGGGGAAUAUUGGACAAUGGGGGGCAACCCUGAUCCAGCCGACGCCGCGUGAACGAAGAAGUAUCUCGGUAUGUAAAGUUCUAUCAGCAGGGAAGAUAAUGACGGUACCUGACUAAGAAGCACCGGCUAAAUACGUGCCAGCAGCCGC
RNAcentral lists this ribosomal RNA (483 nucleotides) under uncultured bacterium. Its description in RNAcentral is "bacterial SSU rRNA". It matches the Rfam family "Bacterial small subunit ribosomal RNA", at positions 53 to 518 of the family's 1533-position model. The record is from RNAcentral.